Molecule: transfer RNA, 73 nt
Filed under: Troglodytes troglodytes mosukei
Lineage: Eukaryota; Metazoa; Chordata; Aves; Passeriformes; Certhiidae
Description: tRNA-Asn
Source: RNAcentral
UAGGCAGAGGCCUGAUGGUUUGGGCAUGUAGCUGUUAACUACAGAGUCAUGGGAUCGAAGCCCAUCUGUCUAG